RNAcentral lists this ribosomal RNA (738 nucleotides) under uncultured bacterium. RNAcentral's name for it is "bacterial SSU rRNA". It matches the Rfam family "Bacterial small subunit ribosomal RNA", at positions 94 to 827 of the family's 1533-position model. The record is from RNAcentral.
ACCGGCGCACGGGUGCGUAACGCGUAUAGAACCUACCCUGUACAGGGGGAUAGCCCAGGGAAACUUGGAUUAAUACCCCGUGGAGAUCUUUUGUGGCAUCACAUAAAGGUUUAAAGUCUUCGGGCGGUACGGGAUGGCUAUGCGUCUUAUUAGUCAGUAGGUGAGGUAACGGCUCACCUAGGCAGCGAUAAGUAGGGGCCCUGAGAGGGGGAUCCCCCACACUGGUACUGAGACACGGACCAGACUCCUACGGGAGGCAGCAGUGAGGAAUAUUGGACAAUGGGCGGAAGCCUGAUCCAGCCAUGCCGCGUGCAGGAAGACGGCCCUAUGGGUUGUAAACUGCUUUUAUACGGGAAGAAUAAUCACGACGUGUCGUGAGAUGACGGUACCGUAAGAAUAAGGACCGGCUAACUCCGUGCCAGCAGCCGCGGUAAUACGGAGGGUCCGAGCGUUAUCCGGAAUCAUUGGGUUUAAAGGGUCCGCAGGCGGGCAAUUAAGUCAGGGGUGAAAUGGUGCGGCUCAACCGUAGCACUGCCCUUGAUACUGGUUGUCUUGAGUCAUGGUGGAGUGGCCGGAAUAUGUAGUGUAGCGGUGAAAUGCAUAGAUAUUACAUAGAACACCGAUCGCGAAGGCAGGUCACUAACCAUUGACUGACGCUGAUGGACGAAAGCGUGGGGAGCGAACGGGAUUAGAUACCCCGGUAGUCCACGCUGUAAACGAUCUGUACUAGUCUGUGGG